This 720-nucleotide long non-coding RNA is filed under the name Fukomys damarensis (Damara mole-rat). RNAcentral describes it as "lncRNA (ENSFDAG00000033240.1)". Lineage: Eukaryota; Metazoa; Chordata; Mammalia; Rodentia; Bathyergidae. The record is from RNAcentral.
GAUAGGGUAGGGUGCACAUGAUGAGCAUGACGCACAACAGACGUACCAGCUAAGGUUACCAUGGCGCCUGCAGAGUCAGGUGUGGAGAAGGCAAAAUGGUUGUCUGUGUGCUGGAGAGCAGAGGACCCAGCUGAAAGCCAGAGGCCCAGAGCUCACGGCAGUCCCAUGCGAGUCUGUUGAAAGCCAAAGGGCCAGCGUUGGACGGCUGCAGAGUCUGCCCUGGAGAUGGAAGCCCAGCGUGACGGUGAAGGCCUGAGCUCCUCGGCAGACUCAAGACUUCUGUCUUCUUGCCCUUGUAUUCCACCAGGCGGGGCCUGCUGGUUGGUGCCGCCCACUUCCGGGGUGGGGCUUCGUCUCUAGCGGUCCCUCGCGCAGAUGCACCCAGUCUGCCCUAAUCCAGUCGCUCACCAGGUGGACCCCACAGUGCAUCGUCCUGACAGCCAUUCUUAUGGGACCCUGCGGUGAGCCCCGCCCACCGGCUUUGGGCAGAGCGGGAGUCAGAGUCCAGUUACAGCCAGCCUCCGGCACGCACAGCAUCCUGAGCACUUCUGAAUCAAAAUGUCAACUUCUUCAUCCUCUAAAAUGACAGGGCGAGCACCUCUCAGCUGCAAGCUCAGCCCUGGAGGGUACAAAACCUCGUCCUGUGUCUGUAGCUGCCCUGGAGAAUACGCAGGGCCAGCCCGGCAGAGGCGCCGACCGCUGGACUUAUUUAUGUCUCCG